This 341-nucleotide long non-coding RNA is filed under the name Micromonas commoda. RNAcentral describes it as "long non-coding RNA (MCOM_LNC000125)". Lineage: Eukaryota; Viridiplantae; Chlorophyta; Mamiellophyceae; Mamiellales; Mamiellaceae. The record is from RNAcentral.
CGCGGCGCCGCUGGGGCGCUGCUGGUGUACGACAUCACGCGGCGGGAGACGUUCGAGCACCUCUCCUCCUGGCUCGAGGACGCGAGGCAGCACGCCAACCCGAACAUGACCAUCAUGCUCAUCGGCAACAAGUCCGACGUCGCGCACAAGAGGCAGGUGUCGCGCGAGGAAGGGGAGGAGUUCGCCAGGGAGCACGGCCUGGUGUUCCUGGAGACGUCCGCCAAGACCAGCGAUAACGUCGAGGAGGCGUUCAUCAACACCGCGUCGGUCAUCUGCGAGAAGAUCGACGACGGGCUGGACGUGAGCAACGAGUCGCACGGGAUCAAGGUUGGGUACGGCGC